ACGCACGCUGGCGGCGUGCUUCACACCUGCAAGUCGCACGGAAAGGCCCUGCUUUUGUGGGGUGCUCGAGCGGCGAACGGGUGAGUAACACGUGAGUAACCUGCCCUUGACUUUGGGAUAACUUCAGGAAACUGGGGCUAAUACCGGAUAGGAGCUCCUGCUGCAUGGUGGGGGUUGGAAAGUUUCGGCGGUUGGGGAUGGACUCGCGGCUUAUCAGCUUGUUGGUGGGGUAGUGGCUUACCAAGGCUUUGACGGGUAGCCGGCCUGAGAGGGUGACCGGCCACAUUGGGACUGAGAUACGGCCCAGACUCCUACGGGAGGCAGCAGUGGGGAAUAUUGCACAAUGGGCGGAAGCCUGAUGCAGCAACGCCGCGUGCGGGAUGACGGCCUUCGGGUUGUAAACCGCUUUCGCCUGUGACGAAGCGUGAGUGACGGUAAUGGGUAAAGAAGCACCGGCUAACUACGUG
This 467-nucleotide ribosomal RNA is filed under the name uncultured bacterium. RNAcentral's name for it is "partial 16S ribosomal RNA". It matches the Rfam family "Bacterial small subunit ribosomal RNA", at positions 29 to 507 of the family's 1533-position model. The record is from RNAcentral.